GACGAACGCUGGCGGCGUGCCUAACACAUGCAAGUCGAGCGAAGUAUAUCUAAGGGAAAUUUUCGGAUUAAACUUAGAUAUAUCUUAGCGGCGGACGGGUGAGUAACGCGUGAGCAACCUGCCUUUCACAAAGGGAUAGCCUCGGGAAACUGGGAUUAAUACCAUAUAAAACUUGUCUUUCGCAUGAAAGAAAAGCCAAAAGCGAAUAAGCGGUGAAAGAUGGGCUCGCGUCCUAUUAGCUAGUUGGUGAGGUAACGGCUCACCAAGGCGACGAUAGGUAGCCGGCCUGAGAGGGUGAACGGCCACACUGGAACUGAGACACGGUCCAGACUCCUACGGGAGGCAGCAGUGGGGGAUAUUGCACAAUGGAGGAAACUCUGAUGCAGCGACGCCGCGUGAGUGAAGAAGGCCUCGGGUCGUAAAGACGUACUGUCCUAGGGUAAGGAGUAAUAGACGGUACCGUACGGAGGAAGACCCGGGACCGAACUAACCGUACGCCACGCACGCCGACGGUAAACGGUAACGUACGUAAUACUACGG
This 540-nucleotide ribosomal RNA is filed under the name uncultured bacterium. Its description in RNAcentral is "bacterial SSU rRNA". It matches the Rfam family "Bacterial small subunit ribosomal RNA", at positions 28 to 528 of the family's 1533-position model. The record is from RNAcentral.